GUUCUGUAAGCCUGCGAAGGUGUACUGUGAGGUAUGCUGGAGGUAUCAGAAGUGCGAAUGCUGACAUAAGUAACGAUAAUGCGGGUGAAAAACCCGCACGCCGGAAGACCAAGGGUUCCUGUCCAACGUUAAUCGGGGCAGGGUGAGUCGACCCCUAAGGCGAGGCUGAAAAGCGUAGUCGAUGGGAAACGGGUUAAUAUUCCCGUACUGGUGGUAACUGCGAUGGGGGAACGGAGAAGGCUAGGUUGUCCGGGCGACGGUCGUCCCGGUUCAAGCAGGUAGGCAGAGUGAUUAGGCAAAUCCGGUCACUUAAUGCUGAGAUGUGAUGACGAACCACCAAGGUGGUGAAGCAAUUGAUGCCCCGCUUCCAGGAAAAGCCUCUAAGCUUCAGGUUACCAACAAUCGUACCCCAAACCGACACAGGUGGUCAGGUAGAGAAUACUCA
RNAcentral lists this ribosomal RNA (445 nucleotides) under Proteus mirabilis. Its description in RNAcentral is "partial 23S ribosomal RNA". It matches the Rfam family "Bacterial large subunit ribosomal RNA", at positions 1238 to 1684 of the family's 2925-position model. The record is from RNAcentral. Lineage: Bacteria; Pseudomonadati; Pseudomonadota; Gammaproteobacteria; Enterobacterales; Morganellaceae.